Long non-coding RNA from Callithrix jacchus (white-tufted-ear marmoset), 1785 nucleotides. The record is from Ensembl. Lineage: Eukaryota; Metazoa; Chordata; Mammalia; Primates; Cebidae.
AUAUUAUCUUCCAAUCUGGGGCUUAUCUGUUUAAUUAUUGAACAGGGUCUUUUAAUUAGCAUACAAAUUUAAUUUUGAUUAAAUUUUUCUUUUAUGGUUUUUGCUUUUUAUACCCUAAGAAAUAUUCGUGUAUCUCAAGGUAUUGAAGACAUUCAAUUUUUCUUCUGGAAGCUAUAUAAUUUUUAGUUCUGAGAUCCAUCUUAAGCUAAAUUAUGUAUACAGGGAGAGAGAUGAGGCAAGAUUUCUCCCCCAUGUAGCUAUUCUGUUGUCCCACCACCAUAUGUUGAGAAGAUGCUCCUUUCUCCUAUCAUUUUGAUUUGGAGGCUUAGUUGAAACUCAUUUCACAAAAAAAAUAGCUGGGAUUCGAGGCAGGAAUACAAAUCAGGAAAAAACAAUAGAGCAGAAAAGAGAAGUUUGGCAUCUGACUCAAGGUUGCAGCAACGGCAUGAAAUCUGCUCGCUCUGACCCUGGAAAUGCCCAGCUGGAGAACUGGUGUGCAUUUGUGAUGUCUGGGUGGACCAGCUGGGUAACAUCACCAUGCCUGUGCAUAGAGAAGGAAUGAUUCUCCCUCUUCCCUUUCACUGUAUCCAGAGUCUGCUAAUGAGGUCCAGAGGACUGACUGCAGAGCCCAUUUUUCCUUUGUAGGAGGCACAUAUGGUACAAUUAUAAAUUACCCAUACCCAAGCCAAAUACACACACACACACACAGAUUAAAUGUAAGCAGUUAAUGAAACAAACAUAUGAAUUAUAGCAGACAUCAAAGUAUCUCUUUUUCAGGGUUACCAUUUUGGAUUACCAUCUAGCCCAUUAGAUGUUUGCUGAAUAAAUUCAGACCAGUGUUAACCAAUAAAAUACAUAUCUACAUGAAUUAGAUGGUGGUCCAAUAUAAUAUUUUCUAUUAAGUAGUGAAUUGUCUUCUUUUAGAUAUUUUGAAAUUAAUGUCCUCUUUAUCACCUGCUAAAUCUGUAUGUUUUUGUUUAAACACAAUGGAACAAUUCAACAAGGUAUUAUAAGAUUUCAUCUAGUGAGGAUAAAAGCUGUUUAGAAAGCAUGACUUAAAAUUUCUCAAAGCUGUUUACUGUCUUGCCUAAAUUAUGCAGACAGAGCUUAUAUAUUAGGGCCUUUGGAUCUUUAGAUUGGAAACAUUUUCAGAUUUAGAAAAGCUUCAUUGUUUAGUUUGAACUUUUCCAUUUAAAAUAAUCAGAGGUGAAUGGGAAACAUAAUCCUCUUACUAAUGUGUUUUUUUAUGAGUGAAUGCUGAGAAACUUAACAUAAAGAUGCAAUCUGAAAAAAAGAAAUAGAAAAGAACUUUCUCACUUUCACUUAAUUACUAAUAAAAAAUUAUAAAAUAUAAAGCCUAAUGUUUAGUGUCAUCUCUUAUUGGAAUAUGUCAGCUUCCCCAGAGACAAUGCAUUGCCACAAGUAGCUAUUUGAAACAAAUCUUUCUGUGAUAUCUGAAGACACUCUUCUGCAAGGCUCUCUCUUCAAGAGUUUCAAAGCAGCACUUUCCCAACCCUCUGUGCAUCCAGCUAAACAAAGCAAGCAAAGGACUAUUUCUCUUUGACUUAUAUUUUACUCGUUAGUCAUUUUGUAUCAUUAUAAUUCUGAAAUAAAAUAAGCCUUAAGAGAAAAAAAUCCACCACAUAUUUUAUAUUAAAUGUUCAUUCAUGAGCUAAUCUUAGCUAGCUGUUCCUUUGAAACCACAAUGCAGUCUUAAAAUCAUUUAAACUGUUACUAAUUUAGCAGUUGUACAGUGAUGGAUUUUUCAGGUUGCUUACAUAUAGA